AGAGUUUGAUCAUGGCUCAGGACGAACGCUGGCGGCGUGCCUAAUACAUGCAAGUCGAGCGGACGGAUGAAGAAGCUUGCUUCUUCUGAGGUUAGCGGCGGACGGGUGAGUAACACGUAGGCAACCUGCCCUCAAGACGGGGAUAACUACCGGAAACGGUAGCUAAUACCAGAUAGGUCACGUUCUCGCAUGAGGAAGUG
Molecule: ribosomal RNA, 200 nt
Filed under: uncultured bacterium
Lineage: Bacteria
Description: partial 16S ribosomal RNA
Rfam family: Bacterial small subunit ribosomal RNA
Source: RNAcentral